GAGGGUAGACCCCUCGGACUCGCUUUACAGGAAGUGAUUCCAAACCACCCAUAAGCUGCUUUGGUCAAAAGCCACGGUAGUGAGCAUUAUGGGAAAAGGCGAGGCUAUGACUUCGUCAGGU
Molecule: non-coding RNA, 121 nt
Organism: Methanosarcina acetivorans
Lineage: Archaea; Methanobacteriati; Methanobacteriota; Methanomicrobia; Methanosarcinales; Methanosarcinaceae
Source: Rfam